CCCGCUUCCCGCCUCCUCGCCCGCGCGCGCCGCUGGGGCCGCCAGAGGAGGGGGCGCGGGCAGGGGUUGGGCAGCGCGAUCCGCGACCGUUGGUCCCCCCUCCACGGCCCCUCCGGGGGAAGGUUUCAAACCGCCCGCCUCCCGCUGAGGGGAGGGCCCUGCGGGCGGCCCCUCUGCAGCUGCUGGGGGCCAGACGCAUCCACCGCCCCCUCGAGGGACCUGUAUAGUCGAAGUAUAUUUACGUAAGGAGAGGCCAGGGUAAAAGCGAGGGGCGGAGAGGAAAAAUGGUCUCUGGGCACAGCAGGGUGACGCCGGGCUGAGGUGAAGGAUGGGCAGAAGCCCCUGCAGGCUGAGGUACCUCGGCCGCGGCAUGGCCUCGCCUCCAGGCUGGAGGAAAAGCCGCGUUUCCCAGCUCCGCCGCCAAAAGUAAGCGUGCGGGGCAUUCACAAGUCUUUGAGGCAACCCAGCUCGAGAAGUGUUUCCUUUUUCCCUUAAGAGCCAAUGGCACACACCUAAAAGCCCCCAAAAAAGCCUUAACGUGGAAAAGAAGGGAGUUGAAAGCCUGUGUGUGUGCCGGCGAAGCGGUCACCCCGCACGUACAAGGGGAACUCCCGAAGGCGAUGCCCGCACAGCCCGAAAUAAAAGUGCUAAACGUCCGAGAGCCGAGGGACGCGGAAACUGAAUGGGGACCUCCUCGCCUCGGCUCUUUCAUAACAGCAGGAACGCGGCGCGGCGAUGCGGUAACGCGGCGAUUAGGCAACGUUUUGUGAGGGGAGAGAAGGAAAGGUUCGGUAAUCCGACGUGAAUAAAGCCCGAAAGAGCCAACUAAGCCAUACCUGGAUCUCAUGAAUGCGGCCGAAGCCGUCCUUCCAGAAGAACUCGUAGAGAUUGUAGAGGGUGUUGGGUCCGGGCAUUUCGUGCAGACUCUUCACCCUGCCCAGCUGCGGGGAGGGCUCCAGCAGCUCCCCCGGCCGCGCCGCUUUGUUCUCCGCGCCGCUCCGCACCUCCAGGGACUGACUGCCCGACAGCCCGGGCGCCUGGUGAAACCUGCUGACAAAAAGCGCGUGCUGGAAGGCCACUGAUGACAGAGCAGUUUACUUCAGAGUACCUGCAGUUCAUACAGGUUCUACCCACGGAGAUGUCCCAAAAUGGAUGUAUGCCUCUAAUGAUCUUCAACAGCUAGGUUCAAGUGCAAUCCAUUAGAGACUAUUUGCUCUUUCACCUUGUGCAAUUUGUGCAGUGACUGCUGCACAUGGCUAUCUGGAACAUCAUUUGUCUUUCACGUCACCGUCACCACUGCUGAAACACACCACCCACCACCUCAGUUUGCUAGCAUCUACUGUUUAAGUCUCCGUAAGUGUUCAGCAAGCUUCAGUGAACGUCAAUGGGUGCCAUUUUUUCUGCACGGAGGAAUUCAAUUCCACAUCUUUGCUUCAUAUGCACUUCCAUGCCAGACACCAUUUUGUCGGACUGCCCCCCUGCUACCAUCUGUCACACAACAACAACAUGCAAUGGAAUAUUGGUGAGAAGAUUCAGCCUUUACUGCCAUACUACCAACAUCCACCUCUGACACUGUGGGCCAACAUAAUUAAACAGGAGGCAUUACUUUCAGAUCCACCCUUAUAUAUCCGAAAGUAAUGUAACUAAAGUAACUUACCUUCCUAAAAGCUGUAUUAAACUACUUGUAUCUACCCUUACAGCAACAGAGUUAACAGAAUAAUGCAGGAAAAAUUUUUGCCUGCAAGUAAAACCUUCAUUAAUACAUUUCACAACUGUAAUUCUCAAGUAUCUGACCUAGUCACAAAAUGAAAGAAUUAAAGUUAUAUUCACAGGCCACAGUUUAGUAAUUAGAAGGGACAAAUUACCUUGAAGCUAUAGCCUUGAUCUACAAGAAACCGCUGUCGCUUUGUUGAAUAUGCCAUUUCCUGAGUGUCUUGGGAUACAAGAGAAUAGAAAAAGGCAUUGUAUUCCUCUGCAACCAUGCCUAGGAGACAAAGCCACCAAAGGAUUAGUUCCAUUUGGAUCACUACAACCAAGAAGAAAAAAGGACUAAAUUGUAAAAAUAGGUAUUCAAAGAAGAAUCCUCUCCACAAAAUCAGUUUGUAAAAUGUAUUUUAAAUACAAGCUGCAUCCAGACCUUACAUAAACUGAGUGACAAAGCACACCACAUCGAAAUUCCUACUCUUGUUCAUAAUAACUCGAGGAUAGCUUAAAGGGAAAUGGAAAAGGAAAUUUAGACUAUCCCAGUUAUGCUGGUACCCCGAGAAGAACCUGCUGCUUAACUAUGCAGAACAAAGUAGAAGAAAAAAUUACUUACAUAAUAGUUUGCAAACAAGUGGUAAGAAGUCGAGAACAAAGAUUGUAAUGGAUGUCAAAAAAGUUAAACAGAAAUUACAAUGGAAAUUUAUCAGUGUGAUUUAUCAAUGUAAACGAAAGUUAGCAAUCUUUUUGCAUUAAAAGAAAGAUAAAACGAUAUUUUCUUUAACAACAAAAAAACCAAAGCAACCAAACCAAUCAAACAAACAAACAAACAAAAGCCCACUGACCUUAUGGCUAUUUUACCUACUCUCAAAUACCACUGGGUUUUCUUGCAAAACCCAAGGUCUCACUAACACAAGUUUUGUAUGCAUUUUCAAACAAAACUUCAGCCACAAGAAACAUAAACUGUACAGAAAAUAAACUUUGCUGUACUACACCAAGACAGCACUGUGGAGUGUGCUUUGGUAGGAAGAAAAUUACAGAUAACAGCAGCAACUCUGUAUGGGGACAAUAAAAAGAGACUUCACAUCACAUGAAAACAGGUGGGAGAAAGCAAACCCCAGAUUCUGCUUACAACACUCAUUUUCCCAACAGCCAAAUGCAGAACUGAAGCACUGCAAUUUUAUUCUCCACCUGACAGUUAUCAAUAAUUUCCUCUGAAAUACGACCACUUCCUAGGGAAUACUCUUUCUAUCUAAACUAAGUGCCAACAGGCUGUGAUAUAAACCAAUCUUUAAGCUUCUUACUACCUUAACUUGAGAGAACUCUUGAAGUAGAACCAUUUCACCUUGAGCUACUUUAUAAUUUGUCUCAAGAAGAUAUAAAUGGGAUUAGAGCAGAUUAAACAUCGCCUAUUUAUCAGUUAAUAGAACAGACUUACAUCAGUGUCUUUUAGGAAACAUUCAGUUAAUCAAGUCAACCAGCAAAUUCUGCCUAAGAGCGAUUCACCUUAGUUCAAGACUAAUAGAAACGUCAAAAGAAAACGUGACAGAAGCAUCCCAAUAGCACUCAUAUGUAUUCUUCAAACUGAGACACAGAUGGGAGUGAUCAGUGAGAUUUCAAAUAACCAAUGAAGCAAUUCCUAAAAUCCUGACCCCACAGUAAGUUUAAAUCCUACUCACAUAUCCAUCAUAGAAAAAGGAAACACCAGUACAACUGCAGUUUUUUUCCUAUAUGAUCUCUGCACUCUGAGUCUAGAACAUACCAUAAAAAGCAAAGCUCACUUUCACUGAAGCUACAGUGACACUGUGACUCCACAUAUAUCCCAGGCCAGAGUGACAAAUAGCUUUUCAGCUUACAGUUUACUUAUCCUCUAGAAAUAUACUGGAGGAUGAGGGGAGGAACAGCAAAAACCUGAUGAACUAUUCAACCUGAUAACGAAAACAUGAUUUUGACAGUCUUUGGGUAGGAAGUAAAUGCUACAAGCACUCCAUUUAUGCUUUGCUAUGGAUGGACAGGAUUGCUGCUCCUGUUAGUGCCACAGCUUUCUACAACCUCCACCUGAAGUGUUUGUAAAUCAACUUUAAUAAAACACUAAAACAAGCAUUAGAGGAGAGAGAUACCUCAUAGAAACAAUGCUGGCUUUAUUGUAACAUAGUAUAUACAAAUUCACAAGUUUGGAGGAAAAAAAUAAACAUCACUGGGUGUUCUGGCUCAGCUGAUCUUAAGUUCUUAAAACAGAAAGGGGGAAACAAUGCUAUUCUGGCAUAGUAAAUCAUUGUAACAGGAGAGGAAAGAAGAUGCAAGAAAGUAUACAAGAAAGAAUUCAUUUCUGGCUAAAAAAGAAAUGGAGAAAAGAAAUAAGAGCUGCUGCAAGUGAAAGACUGAAUGGCAUCCGUAUUAGAACAACAACAACAAAGCCAAAACCCAACACUUCUCUCACACGGAACCUUGAACUACCUUCUUAUUCAUGAUAUUGCAGUUUAUUCAGUCUGUGUUUCAGUAUUCUAAAUAGUUGAGUAAUUAUCUGAAUGCCGUACUGUAUUCCAAAGAGCAGAGCCCAAGAACUACCUCACCUUUUUUGGCUCUCAGUACUCGCCCCAGUCUUUGAGCCUCCUGUCUUCGAGAUCCACCGUGGGAUGAAAUCUGAAUCAGAACAUUGGCUUCAGGUAGAUCAAAGGAUGUGUCACCCACCUACAACACAGAAGCAGUGUCUGAGCAGCAUCUUAUUUCCAUGUACCAAUAACGACUUUGUACAAAGUACACCUUUAUUAGUUGCAAUAAUAAAACGUCAAAUGCCCGAUGUGCAUGUAUAACUUGUUCUUAUAUAAGGCUCACUCUGAAGAUGAGUACAAAAACACACUACCUCCUCACCUUUGAAAUGAAAAUAGUGUUGAUUUUUGGAUUGUGCUUGAAGUUUUGUAGAAUUUGCAUUCUUUCUCCUUGUGCAGUAGGACCAUAUAUAUAAGGUCUGAAAAAAACAGAACACAUGCAAAUUAAACCAAUUCAAAAAUCCUCAUUUUUUAACAGGCACUAAGAUAUCAUGGCAGGGAGCUCAUUACACAGUGAUUUAAACGUAUUAAUAGCACUGGUGAAAAAAAGAGCAUGAGCUAUGUGACUCUGGAUGACAGACUUAGGACAGAGUAAAAACUGGCUUAACAAAUUUUGAGUUCUGAGGCCUCAAAAAAUUAAAGGCAAAAUAAUUCCUGUCAUGUGCAUGUUCUUUCCCUGCUAGUACCAAGGGAAUAGAAUGGGGCAAAGGAGGAGCUGGUGCAGCAGCAGCCACCAGGCAAUGCCAAUUUCUCUCCACUGGGGAGCCCACCUGCCCCAUAUGCUUGAGCCAGGCAGUGGAACCCACCCGCUGAGCCAGCACAGCC
This 5075-nucleotide long non-coding RNA is filed under the name Gallus gallus (chicken). Lineage: Eukaryota; Metazoa; Chordata; Aves; Galliformes; Phasianidae. The record is from RNAcentral.